Molecule: transfer RNA, 87 nt
Filed under: Neofusicoccum ribis
Lineage: Eukaryota; Fungi; Ascomycota; Dothideomycetes; Botryosphaeriales; Botryosphaeriaceae
Also listed under: 1 other name
Description: tRNA-Cys
Rfam family: tRNA
About the family: Transfer RNA (tRNA) molecules are approximately 80 nucleotides in length. Their secondary structure includes four short double-helical elements and three loops (D, anti-codon, and T loops). Further hydrogen bonds mediate the characteristic L-shaped molecular structure. tRNAs have two regions of fundamental functional importance: the anti-codon, which is responsible for specific mRNA codon recognition, and the 3' end, to which the tRNAs corresponding amino acid is attached (by aminoacyl-tRNA synthetases). tRNAs cope with the degeneracy of the genetic code in two manners: having more than one tRNA (with a specific anti-codon) for a particular amino acid; and 'wobble' base-pairing, i.e. permitting non-standard base-pairing at the 3rd anti-codon position.
Source: RNAcentral
GCGUCAAUAGCUCAGUGGUAGAGUGUAGGAUUGCAGUUGUCUCGCAACCCCAUCCCGAGGUCCUCGGUUCGACCCCGAGUUGGCGCU